This 497-nucleotide ribosomal RNA is filed under the name uncultured bacterium. RNAcentral's name for it is "partial 16S ribosomal RNA". It matches the Rfam family "Bacterial small subunit ribosomal RNA", at positions 28 to 507 of the family's 1533-position model. The record is from RNAcentral.
GACGAACGCUGGCGGCGUGCCUAAUACAUGCAAGUUGAGCGAUGAAGAUUGGUGCUUGCCCCAAUUUGAAGAGCAGCGAACGGGUGAGUAACGCGUGGGGAAUCUGCCUUUGAGCGGGGGACAACAUUUGGAAACGAAUGCUAAUACCGCAUAACAACUUUAAACAUAAGUUUUAAGUUUGAAAGAUGCAAUUGCAUCACUCAAAGAUGAUCCCGCGUUGUAUUAGCUAGUUGGUGAGGUAAAGGCUCACCAAGGCGAUGAUACAUAGCAGACCUGAGAGGGUGAUCGGCCACAUUGGGACUGAGACACGGCCCAAACUCCUACGGGAGGCAGCAGUAGGGAAUCUUCGGCAAUGGACGAAAGUCUGACCGAGCAACGCCGCGUGAGUGAAGAAGGUUUUCGGAUCGUAAAACUCUGUUGGUAGAGAAGAACGUUGGUGAGAGUGGAAAGCUCAUCAAGUGACGGUAACUACCCAGAAAGGGACGGCUAACUACGUG